Molecule: ribosomal RNA, 514 nt
Filed under: uncultured bacterium
Lineage: Bacteria
Description: partial 16S ribosomal RNA
Rfam family: Bacterial small subunit ribosomal RNA
Source: RNAcentral
GAUGAACGCUGGCGGCGUGCCUAAUACAUGCAAGUCGAGCGAACAUCAGAGAAGCUUGCUUCUCUGAUGUUAGCGGCGGACGGGUGAGUAACACGUGAGUAACCUACCUAUAAGACUGGGAUAACUCCGGGAAACCGGGGCUAAUACCGGAUAAUAUUUUGAACCGCAUGGUUCGAUAGUGAAAGACGGUUUCGGCUGUCACUUAUAGAUGGACCCGCGCCGUAUUAGCUAGUUGGUAAGGUAACGGCUUACCAAGGCGACGAUACGUAGCCGACCUGAGAGGGUGAUCGGCCACACUGGAACUGAGACACGGUCCAGACUCCUACGGGAGGCAGCAGUAGGGAAUCUUCCGCAAUGGGCGAAAGCCUGACGGAGCAACGCCGCGUGAGUGAUGAAGGUCUUCGGAUCGUAAAACUCUGUUGUUAGGGAAGAACAAAUUUGUUAGUAACUGAACAAGUCUUGACGGUACCUAACCAGAAAGCCACGGCUAACUACGUGCCAGCCGCCGCCGUAA